RNAcentral lists this unclassified non-coding RNA (704 nucleotides) under Dolichospermum sp. CHAB04. RNAcentral's name for it is "partial 16S-23S ribosomal RNA intergenic spacer". The stretch from base 1 to 152 matches the Rfam family "Bacterial small subunit ribosomal RNA", at positions 1382 to 1533 of the family's 1533-position model. The record is from RNAcentral. Lineage: Bacteria; Bacillati; Cyanobacteriota; Cyanophyceae; Nostocales; Aphanizomenonaceae.
UGUACACACCGCCCGUCACACCAUGGAAGUUGGUCACGCCCGAAGUCGUUACCCCAACCGUAAGGAGGGGGAUGCCUAAGGUAGGACUGAUGACUGGGGUGAAGUCGUAACAAGGUAGCCGUACCGGAAGGUGUGGCUGGAUCACCUCCUUUUAGGGAGACCUAAUCCAUUUAGAAAUUUCCCAGCAAUUUUCAUUGCUAGAAACUAAAUUGGUCUAACCUAGGUCGGUCGCAGACUUGAAGUAAAGCUUUCAAACUAUGAUUUGGUUCGAUAAGGGCUAUUAGCUCAGGUGGUUAGAGCGCACCCCUGAUAAGGGUGAGGUCCCUGGUUCGAGUCCAGGAUGGCCCACCUGAAGAAUUUUAGAUUGGUGAUUUGAGAUUUUAGAUUGAGAAAAAAAAUCAAUCCAAAAUCGUCAAUCCAAAAUCCAAAAUUUUGUAGGGGGGUUUAGCUCAGUUGGUAGAGCGCCUGCUUUGCAAGCAGGAUGUCAGCGGUUCGAGUCCGCUAACCUCCACAUUGGAAAAAAAACAGCACCUAACUAUAAAAGUUAGACUGCUGGGUGAAAUUCCAGCCAGAACCUUGAAAACUGCAUAAGAGAACGAGAAAAAGCAGGCAGAAACAGACAUUACAUUUAAAUGGAUGUGAAAGCCAAGAAAAAUUGUGGUCAAGCUAAUAAGGGCUAAUGGUGGAUACCUAGGCACACAGAG